Ailuropoda melanoleuca (giant panda) is the source of this 787-nucleotide long non-coding RNA. RefSeq lists it as uncharacterized. NCBI's taxonomy places the organism in Eukaryota, Metazoa, Chordata, Mammalia, Carnivora, Ursidae. The transcript is spliced from 3 exons. The record is from RefSeq and is a predicted model, not a curated record.
AUAAAAUGCCUACGUGAUGAGAUGAAUGACGGAGGCACAGUGACAGUGACGUAACGUUAGGCUACUACUGACUUUCUGACAAGAUGUCAGAAGGAAGAUGAUCUGCCUCCGGAUUGCCGCUGGUCUCAGAUAUUCCAGCCUGCAAAAAGCACCUGUUCUGGUCUGCUCCGGACAAGCCAGUAGCAGAGUGGUCAAGGUCCUGUCCCUGACAGGCCUGGAUUGGAUAUUGAUUUGCUAGGAGACUGUCUCCCGGGAAUAGUAGGCAGCUUAGAAAGGCUCCAAGCCCAGCAUGAAAUCAAGAGUCAGACACUUAGCCAACUGAGCCAUCCAGGCAUCCCAGAAAAAAGAGUUUAUUUUUAAGUAAUCUCUAUACCCAACAUGGAGCUUGAACUUACAGCCUUGAGAUCAAGAGUCACAUGUUCUACCAACGGAGUCAGCCAGGACUUCAAUCCUUUGGACUUGAACUUAUUUGGACUUAACUUGUAAGACCAUCCAAUUUUUUUAAAUUUCACUAUAAUUUCUCCCUGAAAUCUGGUCAUGGGAAGGGGUCUAUAUUCAGACACAAAGCAUCUUAUUGUUAAUAUAUUAUUAUGGGAGUAUCUUUAUGUUGUCAAAUUGUGGAACUUCUGAUGGGCUAUAUACGUGUUGUGGCCCUGAAAAUACACUGCUCAGAUCCCCUGCUGCAGGGAGCAUACCGUCAUCAUAUUCACGCAGAGGCCAUCCUUUCUGCUAACUGCUCCUAGCCAAUGACUGAGGAUGGCUGGGGUACUAGAGCAGGCGCUUUUCA